Long non-coding RNA from Felis catus (domestic cat), 1266 nucleotides. RefSeq lists it as uncharacterized. NCBI's taxonomy places the organism in Eukaryota, Metazoa, Chordata, Mammalia, Carnivora, Felidae. The record is from RefSeq and is a predicted model, not a curated record. The transcript is spliced from 2 exons.
CGUGCUCCAAGCCCUCCGGGCUCUGACCCAGGUCCCUGUGGAGGGCGGGAUGGUCUGCGAUGCCCUGCUUGGCUCUCCUCCAGGCCCUGGAGCCUUUGCUCUGAGGCCAGCUUCUCAGCAAGGCCUCCUUGCUGCCUGUCCCCGCUCUGCACAGACCAAUGGCCUCUGCCCUACGGGCUUCCUGGUCCCCACACCCAGUCGGCCCGCGCGGCAGUCCGCCGUGCUCCCGCUCAGCGCCCAGAGCGAGCUCAGCUCUUGCUGAAAGAGAGGACUCGGGACACUCUGCGUGAGGCGCCGUUUCACACGCACAGAGGCCUAUUCUGAAGCCGCCGUGGGCAGCCCGGCCCGCGGCUCCUGGCAGUAAACCGUGCCCAGCGUCUUGCUGGCCUCGGCCAAGGGAGGGCGAGCGCCAGCACAAGGACAGCCAGGGCGAGGUCCCCACAGGCGAACCAGCCGGUCCUUCCCCCGCAGCCGCAGCUCGCCUUCGCCGCCGGGCUUCCGUCUCCCAGGCCACAACGCGGGGCACGGGCCCUACACCGCUGCCACACCUUACUGACGCGGCACCCGUUUUUCUGCAUCUGCGAGACUGUCCCCUCUAGGCCGUCGCUUUCAGAACCAGCAGGCAGCUGCCAAACAGGGGCUGUUUCUGAUGGUUCGUAUUUUGUUUUGUUUUGCUGUAAUUGUCUUUUUUUUUUUUUCUUUUUGGGUCUCACUUGAUACAGUGAAGUGUACAUUUCAAAGUGUUUUGACAAAUGUCUCCACUGAGUGUCCGCUGCCCCUUAAAGAUCCAGGGCUGAGGUUUUCAGACGCUCACAUGCCGGGAAAGCGUCCUCGCUGCCCCACGGCUCCUGGCUCGGUGGGUCUGGGCGGGGAGAGAACGCACGUGUCGAGAGUUCCUGGGACCUGUUGCUACUCACCUGCCCACACUCCUAAGCAUCUGGGGCGAGUAUUUCUAUCGCACCAGAAAGCUCCCCUUUGGCCCUUCUGGUCAGCUCCAGCCUCCCCCAGAGGCAGCCCGCCUGUCCGUGAACUUCACACGCCGGAAUCCUUGGCAUGCGUCCUUCGGUGUCUGGCUCCUUUCAGGCAGCACAGUGCUCCUGAGGGUCGUGCAGGGCACUGCCGGGCUCACUAGCCCUUCCUGUCGUCACAGGGUGGCAUUUCCCUGCAUGGGGCCACCAGCCUGUCCCCUUCUCCUGCUGAUGGAUGUUGGGUUGUUUCCAGUUUGGGGCUGGAAUAAAACUUCUAUGAUUAUCUGCGUGCAGCCUG